Molecule: ribosomal RNA, 253 nt
Filed under: uncultured bacterium
Lineage: Bacteria
Description: partial 16S ribosomal RNA
Rfam family: Bacterial small subunit ribosomal RNA
Source: RNAcentral
UACAGAGGGUGCGAGCGUUAAUCGGAAUUACUGGGCGUAAAGGGCGCGUAGGUGGUCACUUAAGUCAGAUGUGAAAUCCCUGGGCUUAACCUAGGAAUUGCAUUUGAAACUGAGUGGCUAGAGUAUGGGAGAGGGAAGUGGAAUUUCCGGUGUAGCGGUGAAAUGCGUAGAUAUCGGAAGGAACACCAGUGGCGAAGGCGACUUCCUGGCCCAUUACUGACACUGAGGCGCGAAAGCGUGGGGAGCGAACAGG